UAACAUAUUUAGUAAAUGUUUAACAUCGUUGUGAUCAUAUCCUCUUUGUUUUUAUUAGACAAGUAGUGCGUAUUAAACUAAGUGCUUUGGUUAUAGUGGAUAGUGGUAUCCUUUGAAUCCUUUCAGCAAGAUGUUAGUAAAGACAGAUAAGGAAAUUCGCAAAUUAGGACCGGGUGAAAUAUACUCCCUAGUAGAAAUCUUACACGCUGUAGAUGACUGGAAAAUGUUCAUGUCUCUUAUACCUAAGAAUCCUCGAAACGAAAAUUCCGAACGAAAAUACAACAGUGAGGAUAUAAGAAAAAUUGAACAACAUGCUGGAGAUACUCAAGAAAAAUGUGCAAAGAUUAUGUUUGAUGAAUGGGGGACGUCGGGCCAAAUUCGCCCAACACUGAGGACUGUACAGCAAAUUGCUUUAAAGGCAGAGAUGAUGCGCCUCGUUGAUGAAAUAUCUGUCAUGUUGGGAGAGCCACUUCUUCCUCGGCCAACGCAAGGCCCCGGAGCUCCUGUGACUACGCAAGUCUCUUUUAAUAAACGAAGCAAGCACCGCAGAAGUGACAUCUCUAAAUAAUGGAAGAAAUGAAGCUAAUGACAUGAGCACCGAGCAAGUACAUAAUGUACCAAACUGGGAAAAGUGGUGCCACUGCAUUGAUAUCAACCCUAUUACCCCACCAAUUCAACCUGGACCAGCAAAUAAUGCACCUAACUGGGCUUGAUUGGUCAAAACUGCCAAAAGCAAAUCCCUCAGUACCCAGCAGUCUUCUGAAAACCAGGAAUUCAGCAAUUAACAGCCUAACAAGAGGAAUAAUCCAUUAGGGCACAAGAGAUCCGAGACAGUUAUAAAAUUAUAAAUUACAAAAGUGUCACUUCAUGGCAAGCUCAUUUUGCACGCAUUCAUUUAUUCGGCUUUGAACCAUAAGAUUCACUACAAAACCUUCGAGUUGUGAAUGUGUGCGUGUCACGAGUAAACACAAAAAAAUCGGGGUUUUGAAGUAAUAGUUUCAUCUCGGCAAACUUUAUGAAUCUCAGUGUAAUUUAGUGCGUCUUUUUUACCGACAGUAGGUAUAUAAGAAGGAUGGUGAUAGUUAGGAUUUACUUGUAUACAACCUACAUACAGUACAGCAAGUGU
Molecule: long non-coding RNA, 1126 nt
Organism: Cydia splendana
Lineage: Eukaryota; Metazoa; Arthropoda; Insecta; Lepidoptera; Tortricidae
Exons: 4
Source: RefSeq, a predicted model, not a curated record